RNAcentral lists this long non-coding RNA (255 nucleotides) under Capsicum annuum. Its description in RNAcentral is "long non-coding RNA (CANN_LNC010161)". The record is from RNAcentral. Lineage: Eukaryota; Viridiplantae; Streptophyta; Magnoliopsida; Solanales; Solanaceae.
UUGUGGAUUGAUUGAUUCUAGAAUGAAGAGGUUUUGAGCCUUAAAUGGAAUUUGGGGUUGGUUGUUCAGAAUGACAUUUCUGCCCUUGGGCUAUUUUCUGCCCUCAUGUGAUCGCGGAAGAUUGGUCGUGAUUGCGCUCACCAUGAUCAGGGUUAGUCCUUCGCGAUUGCAGUUGGUUGACUAACUUGACUAAACGCGAUUGCGGGUUAAUGCCUGCGAUCAUAAUAACUGAGGGCUCGAUCCUCAUCCUACUUC